RNAcentral lists this long non-coding RNA (439 nucleotides) under Homo sapiens (human). RNAcentral's name for it is "HSALNT0362904". Lineage: Eukaryota; Metazoa; Chordata; Mammalia; Primates; Hominidae. The record is from RNAcentral.
CAGUUAAACUGCUGAACAUUAUGCUAAGGUUGGACAUUGGAUCAAAUCUGAUCUAUGGUGUUCUGUUGGUCAUAAGGUUUCCAAUAAUCUUAGUAAUGAGAGGGAGAGAGAAUGAUAGCCGUCGUGAAUGCAGAAGGUCAGUGGGACAGCACCGCUCACUAUCACAUGAACUUGAAGACUUGGAAAUCCGUCCAAGAGUGUCCUAUGUGAACAGUGUUCCCUUGUUGAGCUACCUCAUUGUAUCCCUUCCUAAGUGUAAGAACAAAGCUGUACAUUCUGGAUGAUGAGGCUACCCUACUUCACCUGGUACUCUGGCUGCUUGAGGAUUUCAUUGCCUUUUAGAAGUUGGACUAGUCACUGGAUAUUGUCUUUUAUCAUUUCAAAUGUGAUAUUUUUAAAUGAAAAAACCUGCUCUGUUGUCCAUAUUUAUGAACCGUUG